GCCGCCGUAGCUCAGUGGUAGAGCAUUGGACGCAUUAUUCGAAGGUCGCAGGUUCAGUCCCUGCCGGCGGCA
Molecule: transfer RNA, 72 nt
Filed under: Rhipicephalus sanguineus (brown dog tick)
Lineage: Eukaryota; Metazoa; Arthropoda; Arachnida; Ixodida; Ixodidae
Description: transfer RNA methionine (anticodon CAU)
Rfam family: tRNA
About the family: Transfer RNA (tRNA) molecules are approximately 80 nucleotides in length. Their secondary structure includes four short double-helical elements and three loops (D, anti-codon, and T loops).
Source: Rfam by way of RNAcentral